AAAGUCCUGGGGCCCAAAGAAAGUUCAUCUAAUUCCACAGGUUAAAAACCCUGAAAAUGAAAACAUGACUAUUCUUCAGUUUGGAGUGGCUGAACUGUGAAGUAAAUUAACUACUGUUCAACAUCUAGCACUGGGGAGGAAGACACACUUUUAACAGGGAAGCGCCUGAGGAAAGAUACAGGUGUUUGAGGCUGGAAGGGAUCCUGAGAGGUCAUCACCCUGCCUUAAGGCAGAGUGAAUCUAAAGUCUCCUAGAGGAAAAUGAUGAAGAAUUUAAGAAUUCCACUACUCUUCUGCAGGACCACCCUCCUCAAUCCCCUGUUCCUGCUCCUCCAAACCAAAUCCAUCUUAGUAAGAGGACUCCUAGGAGACAGAACAAUAUCUGGAAAUAAGGAGAAACUAAGGAAUAUUCCUGGAAAGAAAGAAAGAAAAGUGGAGAACAUGAACUGGAGAAAUGGAAGUCUGGAGGAUUGGAGACCAAUUAAAAAGUUACUGCAAUAUCAAUAGUAACACAUGAGAAGGGAGCAGAUAAAGAGCCAUUAGCAAGAAUAAAUGGAAAGCAGAGAAAGUAGGAGGCA
This 577-nucleotide long non-coding RNA is filed under the name Vulpes vulpes (red fox). RNAcentral describes it as "lncRNA (ENSVVUG00000023806.1)". Lineage: Eukaryota; Metazoa; Chordata; Mammalia; Carnivora; Canidae. The record is from RNAcentral.